RNAcentral lists this transfer RNA (66 nucleotides) under Sarcophaga princeps. RNAcentral describes it as "tRNA-Glu". The record is from RNAcentral. Lineage: Eukaryota; Metazoa; Arthropoda; Insecta; Diptera; Sarcophagidae.
CUCAGUUUAUAUAGUUUAACAAAAACAUUACAUUUUCAUUGUAAAAUUAAAAAUCCAUUUUUUAUA